RNAcentral lists this ribosomal RNA (460 nucleotides) under uncultured bacterium. Its description in RNAcentral is "partial 16S ribosomal RNA". It matches the Rfam family "Bacterial small subunit ribosomal RNA", at positions 338 to 795 of the family's 1533-position model. The record is from RNAcentral.
CCUACGGGAGACAGCAGUGAGGAAUAUUGGUCAAUGGCCGGAAGGCUGAACCAGCCAUGCCGCGUGAAGGUCAGUGCCCUAUGGGCGUUAAACUUCUUUUGUGCGGGAGCAAUAAUGGUCACGUGUGGCCAGACGAGAGUACCGUACGAAUAAGCAUCGGCUAACUCCGUUCCAGCAGCCGCGGUAAUACGGGGGAUGCAAGCGUUAUCCGGAUUUAUUGGGUUUAAAGGGUGCGUAGGCUGUGAGGUAAGUCAGCGGUGAAAUGCCCCCGCUCAACGGGGUGAAGUGCCAUUGAUACUGCCUGGCUGGAAUGCGGAUGCGGUGGGAGGAAUGUGUGGUGUAGCGGUGAAAUGCAUAGAUAUCACACAGAACACCGAUUGCGAAGGCAUCUCACGAAUCCGCGAUUGACGCUGAUGCACGAAAGCGUGGGUAUCAAACAGGAUUAGAUACCCCAGUAGUC